Molecule: ribosomal RNA, 465 nt
Filed under: Vreelandella stevensii
Lineage: Bacteria; Pseudomonadati; Pseudomonadota; Gammaproteobacteria; Oceanospirillales; Halomonadaceae
Description: partial 16S ribosomal RNA
Rfam family: Bacterial small subunit ribosomal RNA
Source: RNAcentral
CCUACGGGGGGCAGCAGUGGGGAAUAUUGGACAAUGGGGGGAACCCUGAUCCAGCCAUGCCGCGUGUGUGAAGAAGGCCCUCGGGUUGUAAAGCACUUUCAGUGAGGAAGAACGCCUGGUGGUUAAUACCCAUCAGGAAAGACAUCACUCACAGAAGAAGCACCGGCUAACUCCGUGCCAGCAGCCGCGGUAAUACGGAGGGUGCGAGCGUUAAUCGGAAUUACUGGGCGUAAAGCGCGCGUAGGUGGCUUGAUAAGCCGGUUGUGAAAGCCCCGGGCUCAACCUGGGAACGGCAUCCGAAACUGUCAAGCUAGAGUGCAGGAGAGGAAGGUAGAAUUCCCGGUGUAGCGGUGAAAUGCGUAGAGAUCGGGAGGAAUACCAGUGGCGAAGGCGGCCUUCUGGACUGACACUGACACUGAGGUGCGAAAGCGUGGGUAGCAAACAGGAUUAGAUACCCGAGUAGUC